CCUACGGGUGGCAGCAGUGGGGAAUAUUGGACAAUGGGGGGAACCCUGAUCCAGCGACGCCGCGUGAGUGAAGAAGUAUUUCGGUAUGUAAAGCUCUAUCAGCAGGGAAGAAAAAAGACGGUACCUGACUAAUAAGCCCCGGCUAACUCCGUGCCAGCAGCCGAGGUAAUACGUAGGGGGCAAGCUUUAUCCGGAUUUACUGGGGUUAAAGGGAGCGUGGUGGGCGCGGCAAGUCUGAAGUGAAAGGCAGGGGCUUAACCCCUGAACUGCUUUGGAAACUGCCAUUCUAGAGUGCUGGAGAGGUAAGUGGAAUUCCUAGUGUAGCGGUGAAAUGCGUAGAUAUUAGGAGGAACACCAGUGGCGAAGGCGGCUUACUGGACAGUAACUGACGUUGAGGCUCGAAAGCGUGGGGAGCAAACAUGAUUAGAUACCCUAGUAGUC
RNAcentral lists this ribosomal RNA (441 nucleotides) under uncultured bacterium. RNAcentral's name for it is "partial 16S ribosomal RNA". It matches the Rfam family "Bacterial small subunit ribosomal RNA", at positions 338 to 795 of the family's 1533-position model. The record is from RNAcentral.